UCACACAUCUUACUCCAGUAAUAUGUUCCCUUUGAUCAGUCUCUGUAUACCGUAACCAGAACUUUUCUCUUUUGGAAAUAAAGAGUACGAAUUAGUUUUCCAUAUUACUGAUAAAAUUCUAUCUAUGUAAACAAACAAACAUUAUGUGUGACAAUAUUCCGGGACAAUAUUGCAGAUCCGAGGUCGGUUCUGCCUGCAGUAUAUAAUCAACAUCCUCAAGAAUUAAUAAGAAAGAAUUUUUGAAAAAGUAUGUAAAACUAUGGAACAAUGAAAAGCACAAGAUAAACUGGAAACUCACUUAUGAGUCUGUGACGUCAAGUCUUAACUGUCCACUAAUUGUUUUCUUUAUCUUGAUAAUAUAAAUUUUUCCCCCAAGAAUCUUAUUUCUUCACACCAGCAUCCAAGUUAGAUCGAUGGUAAUGUGUUUUUGUGUGGAUGCACUACUAUAGAGUAUUUUUUUACAAUUAAAUCAUGAAAUCUGAAUUUUGAUAAUCUAUUAAGAUAAAAGUCAAUAGUUAUGAAUAUACAUUAUUCACAAAAUUGUAUCAAUUCUUCAAGUUCAAGUUCAAGUUCAAGUUCAAGUUUAUUUGUCUUUCUUCCAACAUAAAUGUAAUACAAUUUAACAAAUGUAUAACAUGCAAAGUAUAUAAGAGGAACACUUAUAAGAAUAAAGUUCACACAAUGCAUUUACAUGAGAAAACAAAAGAAGAAAAGACGAGGAGACCUAAUUAAAGCUUAGCUUGUAGAGGUCAGGUCCCUCAAAAACAAUAACAUAAACAACAAGAACAGCCUGGUUAUAUAAUAGAUUAAUAAAAGAAAUGUUCGUCAAAGGCGCUUAAGUACUAAAAUAAAAUACGUAAACAAUAACCAUAUGAUUAUACACAUGGUUUAACUGAGUAAUAAAAAAGGGUGGGGAGAAGAGACUAUGUACAAAAGGGGGAGAUAAGAGUGAUAAUGAUGUGGGAUAUAGAAAUGAAGAGAGGGGCGGGAGUGGGAAAGAGAGGGAGAGCUCGAGUGGGGGGAGAAAGAAAAAAAAAUACUUUCACUGUAAACUGAAAGCUAGUGUAACCCCCAUAAAAAUGGCAAUUACUAAAGCAAUAUUUUGUUAUUUAUUCUUUUUCUAUCUCUAUCUCUCUCUCUCUCUCUUUCUAUCUCUCGUCUCUCUCUCUCUCUCUCUCUCUUUCUAUCCUUUCAUUUCAUCUCAUACUUCUAAGAAACAAACUCUGCUUUGUGCUCCUUAUGCAGUUUAGUGCAAUAUAGGUUUGUUCUCACCCAGAUUAUUUUCUUCUCCCAGUUUAAGAACUCUUGCUGGUAGAUAACUUAUUUGCUAGAGCUGUGACCAUCAAUAGCACUGGACACAGUGUUUGGGAUUAUAUUGUCUCCCACAGAAUUCGGUGCCCUUUCCCCUUUGUCUACUCCCUUUAAUAGGACCCUCUUUUCUUAAGUGGUGUUUGCAGGUAGAUUGUGUCCCUUCAGGAUGUUGCUACUGUUAAUCUCUGUAUUCAGGUAUAGUUUUAAAGUGGUUGUACUAAGAAAAGGCGAGCUUUAAGACCAUGCUGUAGAGAGCUGGCUUGGAGUAUUGGGUUUGAGACAAAGGAUGGGUUGUUUUAGUUAAGGAUGCAAGCUUGGUCCUAUCACAUGAUGUUAGGUAACCAAUAAGACGUCUAGUUGGAAGGAAGGGUAAUGUGGGUCUGGACAGUUUAAUACAACUUUGACACUUUAAGUUUCCAACUCAUUCUCUGCCCAGCUGCCAUUGCUUCGAACACUACCCUGUAUAUAUUCAAUCUCCAUAUUGGAGCAUGUGCUACUAAAUAUAUCUGUAGCCUCUACCUGAUUUUCUUCUUCGAAACAUAUACAAAACGUAUAUAUCAAUUUUAUAUUCUUCAAGCUUCUCUAAGUUUAAGAGAGUUUCCUGUGUUAUAUUUCAUUGGGCAUUUCAUCCAACUUCAACAUUAUUGAGUUGGUUAUCAUCCCAGUUCCUGAUUUUAUAUUCAAGCAAGUGUUGGCUCUUUUACUAGGUGGAUCUUUUACUAGAUCAGUCUUUUACUAGGACUUUUACAAGAGUCUUUUAAUUGAUGAAAUUCAUCAAGCUUCAAGCUAUCGUUCAACUUGUUCCUGUGUUCUGCGUGCUGCGACGUCCUCUUCAACGACACAGAGACGCCGGAUAUAUUGAUCAACCGCGUAUCGCGAGCGAGUUCAUGAACAUUUAAUAAUUUGGUUACUUUAAUAUUUAGAUAAUAGUCGGUUUAGUUAUAAGUUAUAAUACCUUAUAAUGUUAUAGUUGUAAGUUGUGGAAGUUUUGUUUAUUUCAAUGUUUACUUGAUUUGCAGUUGUUAUUGACAACGAGCUAAUAAAGGCAUUGCCAGGUUAUUUUGUUAAAACGUAA
Strongylocentrotus purpuratus (purple sea urchin) is the source of this 2386-nucleotide long non-coding RNA. RefSeq lists it as uncharacterized. The transcript is spliced from 2 exons. NCBI's taxonomy places the organism in Eukaryota, Metazoa, Echinodermata, Echinoidea, Camarodonta, Strongylocentrotidae. The record is from RefSeq and is a predicted model, not a curated record.